Molecule: long non-coding RNA, 1028 nt
Organism: Astatotilapia calliptera (eastern happy)
Lineage: Eukaryota; Metazoa; Chordata; Actinopteri; Cichliformes; Cichlidae
Source: Ensembl
UACCAUGCCAUUUCAGCCAUACAUCUUUAAUAAGAUAUAGUUUAUGUACAAUAAUAAGUUAUAUAUACAGCGACACUUUGGUUCUGUAAAAGAGUUUGUGUGUUUUUACAUGCUCUACUAUACUGCAUGUGCUACUGAGGUAAGUAAUUCAUGUUUGGCUUCUGCUUGUUAUUAUGUCAGCAUAUUACAUGUCAUACAAAAUUUGUCUUAAAACAGGCUGCACUUCAGUCCACUGACUCACUAUUUUUUUUUUCUUUUUAAAAAUCUAUCAACAGCAUAUUACAAUUCAAAAAGAAUAUUUGUGAACUGAAGUGGAUUUGAUGAUGACAGUCAAGCUCUAAUAAAGCAGUACAUUUAAUUGUAAGCUUUAAAUCAAGAACAAGCAGAUUCUGGAGUCAUACUUGAUAAGCAUAAAUGUAAAUAAAUUUAAAAUAAUGGAGUCCAGCUCCAGGUUGGCAUGUAAAAUGGGAACAACGAGCUUUAGGAAAGAAAAAAGUCUGUGCUUAUCAGUCAUGGCAGAUUACCCAGACAACAUCAGGUAUCAGAUGAAGAUCCGCUCCAUUCCCGAGAAAUGAGAUCAAAGCCAGUUUCGGCACUGCGUGGUUAAGUUUGGAAGCUUAAAUUCUGCAGGAAGCAGCAGAGUCAACCUACAGCAUGUUAACUGUUAACAUCACUUAUAAUGGACUUCAGGGGAUCAUUAAAAUGCAGGUCUUUAAAAAGGUUCAAUCAGAUGCUUAACAGACCCACAGUUUAUUUACUGUACGUACAGCACCUAAGUGGCUUCAGCUGCUUUCCAGAACUCACACAACUGCAUGCUGAUCUUGUUUGCUAUAUUGGUCCCAUCGGGGAGAGGCGAGCUAUAAUCCUGUGUGUGAGCAUGACUGAGCUAACCACAAGAGCUGAAUAAGACCAGACGUUAUAGGACACAACUGUAGUGCUACCUCCACCGCAACCGACUGCACCGUCUCACCGUUGACAGCGCAGCAACCCCGGAGGCAUUUAGUCAUUCCUCUGGCCUGGCACUGCUC